GAUGAACGCUGGCGGCGUGCUUAACACAUGCAAGUCGAACGAAGCACUUUAACCUGAUUCUUCGGAUGAAGGUUUUUGUGACUGAGUGGCGGACGGGUGAGUAACGCGUGGGUAACCUGCCUCAUACAGGGGGAUAACAGUUAGAAAUGACUGCUAAUACCGCAUAAGACCACAGAGCCGCAUGGCUCGGUGGGAAAAACUCCGGUGGUAUGAGAUGGACCCGCGUCUGAUUAGGUAGUUGGUGGGGUAACGGCCUACCAAGCCAACGAUCAGUAGCCGACCUGAGAGGGUGACCGGCCACAUUGGGACUGAGACACGGCCCAAACUCCUACGGGAGGCAGCAGUGGGGAAUAUUGCACAAUGGGGGAAACCCUGAUGCAGCGACGCCGCGUGAGCGAAGAAGUAUUUCGGUAUGUAAAGCUCUAUCAGCAGGGAAGAAAAUGACGUUACCUGACUAAGAAGCACCGGCUAAAUACGUG
RNAcentral lists this ribosomal RNA (479 nucleotides) under uncultured bacterium. RNAcentral's name for it is "partial 16S ribosomal RNA". It matches the Rfam family "Bacterial small subunit ribosomal RNA", at positions 28 to 507 of the family's 1533-position model. The record is from RNAcentral.